This is a long non-coding RNA of Poecilia latipinna (sailfin molly), 138 nucleotides long. RefSeq lists it as uncharacterized. The record is from RefSeq and is a predicted model, not a curated record. The transcript is spliced from 3 exons. Lineage: Eukaryota; Metazoa; Chordata; Actinopteri; Cyprinodontiformes; Poeciliidae.
AGCUUCGUCCUUGAACCUGGCGCUCCGUCCACCCAGGCGUUUUGCACAGCUGAAAGGUUGCCACAGAAGAUUCAAGAAUUUCUCAAGCAUGCAUGAAAGAAUCAAAGCAACACUCCAGGCGAGUUUUCUUUAGGGAAU